RNAcentral lists this transfer RNA (68 nucleotides) under Lavandula stoechas. RNAcentral's name for it is "tRNA-Cys". It matches the Rfam family "tRNA". Rfam says of the family: Transfer RNA (tRNA) molecules are approximately 80 nucleotides in length. Their secondary structure includes four short double-helical elements and three loops (D, anti-codon, and T loops). Further hydrogen bonds mediate the characteristic L-shaped molecular structure. tRNAs have two regions of fundamental functional importance: the anti-codon, which is responsible for specific mRNA codon recognition, and the 3' end, to which the tRNAs corresponding amino acid is attached (by aminoacyl-tRNA synthetases). tRNAs cope with the degeneracy of the genetic code in two manners: having more than one tRNA (with a specific anti-codon) for a particular amino acid; and 'wobble' base-pairing, i.e. permitting non-standard base-pairing at the 3rd anti-codon position. RNAcentral also lists the same sequence under 1 other name. The record is from RNAcentral. Lineage: Eukaryota; Viridiplantae; Streptophyta; Magnoliopsida; Lamiales; Lamiaceae.
GGCGGCAUGGCCGAGUGGUAAGGCGGGGGACUGCAAAUCCUUUUUCCCCAGUUCAAAUCCGGGUGUCG